This 444-nucleotide ribosomal RNA is filed under the name uncultured bacterium. RNAcentral describes it as "partial 16S ribosomal RNA". It matches the Rfam family "Bacterial small subunit ribosomal RNA", at positions 331 to 792 of the family's 1533-position model. The record is from RNAcentral.
CCAGACUCCUACGGGAGGCAGCAGUGGGGAAUAUUGCACAAUGGGGGGAACCCUGAUGCAGCGACGCUGCGUGAGUGAAGAAGUAUUUCGGUAUGUAAAGCUCUAUCAGCAGGGAAGAAAAUGACGGUACCUGACUAAGAAGCCCCGGCUAACUACGUGCCAGCAGCCGCGGUAAUACGUAGGGGGCAAGCGUUAUCCGGAUUUACUGGGUGUAAAGGGAGCGUAGACGGCAUGGCAAGUCUGAUGUGAAAACCCGGGGCUCAACCCCGGGACUGCAUUGGAAACUGUCAGGCUAGAGUGUCGGAGAGGCAAGUGGAAUUCCUAGUGUAGCGGUGAAAUGCGUAGAUAUUAGGAGGAACACCAGUGGCGAAGGCGGCUUGCUGGACGAUGACUGACGUUGAGGCUCGAAAGCGUGGGGAGCAAACAGGAUUAGAUACCCCCGUA